UGAACUGGAGGCACGCCCGGCCCAUGAACGCCGGGCGGCCCCAGCCGAAGUCGGCGUCGUAGAUGGGCAGCCCCUGCCAGCUUAUCACCCACAGGUCGGUCUCCGGCAUGACCCACUCCCCCUUGCGCAGCCCCGCCGCGUCGCUCACCACCUGCUCCAGGCAGUCCACCAGCGACCGCACGUACUCGUCGUCCAGCCGCGCGGUGGCGCCGGACACCCUGCCCGCGACGGCGUCGAGCGGCUCCGAGACGACGUCCCCCGCCUUGGCCACCGUCGACGCGCGGAAGAUGGCGUUGCCGAGGUAGCCUUCCGGGAGCGGCGGCCGGACGCGGGACCGCGCGUCGGCGGUCAUGUACAGACGCGUGUCCUCGUCUUGCGCCAGCCCGCGCGCCGUGCACGCGCACCGCCACACGUGGGCGACCACGGCCUUGAACGUGGACACCUUCUUGCUGCCUUCGCCGCCGCCGCCCUUGAGCGCGUCCAGCUGGGCCUUAGACAUGGGCAGGAUGGCGGAGUCGAACGGGACCCUCGCCGCCUUUGGAUCGCCGCCGCCGCGCCGGGAGUACUCGCUGUGGUCGAAGCGCACGUCGGGAGGGGAGCGCGCGCGGAGGAGCGUGCGGUCCAGCCACGGGCGCGGCGCGGCCUCGUCGACGCCCUUGCUGGCGAUGGCGGCCCACGUGUUGACGAAGUCGAGCGCCGCGAGGCCGUCCGCCGCCGUGUGGUGGAUCGCCGCGCCCACGCACACCCCGCCGCACUUGAAGGACGUCACCUGAGUAUACGUAGGCAGGCAGAUGCAAACGUGAGGUCAGCUAGCGCCGCCGCAUGACCGUACGAAGCGCUACUACUAGUAGGUAAGGUACGUGCGGUGAUCUGAUCAAAUCAUCACGGCGCACGCGCGUGACCUGGAACAUGGCCAAGAUGCCGGCGCGGUCUUCGCCGUCGUCGGCUGCGGAGGGGACAAGCAUCUGCCGCAGCUCAUCCGACGGGGCGAGCCCGCCGGCGGUGGCGAGGUCCUGGAGGGUAACGUCGGCGCGCGCGGUGACGAAGAGCGCGCCGUCGCCGGUACAGUGGAUCUCCGGGCGACCAGCGCCGUCCUGCGCGAGCCGGCCGGCGAGGGGGUAGAAGGGGACGAGCGCCUUGGACAGGGCGGCCUUGAGGACGUCCGGCGAGAAGAAGCCCGGGACGUCAGGGCUGGCGGGCCGCCGGUACACGUAGAUGGUGGGCGUGUGGCUCCUGGCCACGAGCAGGUCGAGGUUGGAGAGCCAGACCACGUGCAUGGGUGUCGUCGUCGUCCCCGCGUCGUCGCUGGGUUUCACCAUGCAGGACUCGAGGAUCUCCACCGCCAUUGCUGCUGCUGCUGCUGCUAGUGCUAGGAGAGAGGUGGAUCGGUGGCCUCAACACUGCCGCUGCAACUUUUAAUUUGGUCGGAUGGUAUAUUGCAUUGGUAUUAAAGGAUCGAUCGUUCGACAGGGGUUCGUGCUGAGGGACCGGAGCCGGUGAGGGUGAACCCGAUCGAAAUGCAAAAAAGUUGGUUUCACGGGCAAAGGAUCGUUCGACAUUGCUACUGCACGAGCUCCCACAGUAUUAUUAGUUGGUAUGUUAGAAUGAGUCGAACUCGAAGUUCGAUCUCGUCGAGUACCUGCUGCGUGCUAUAUUGUUAUGUUUUGCCGAUCUUCCAUCGUAGGUGUUCAUCCAUGGAGAUCGAUGAUGUUGCAUUCAUGAUUUUUCUGUUGCAGGCUUGCAGGAACAAGUACAAGGCCAGGAGCUCUAGGAUGAGGUGGAAUUAAGGCCUUGUUUAGUUUCCAAAAUUUGCCAAAAUUUUUCAAUAUUUUUCAUCACAUCGAAUCUUUGAACCAUGCAUGGAGUAUUAAAUAUAAAUAAAAAUAUUAAUUAAUUGCACA
This 1901-nucleotide long non-coding RNA is filed under the name Sorghum bicolor (sorghum). RNAcentral describes it as "long non-coding RNA (SBIC_LNC007476)". Lineage: Eukaryota; Viridiplantae; Streptophyta; Magnoliopsida; Poales; Poaceae. The record is from RNAcentral.